RNAcentral lists this ribosomal RNA (468 nucleotides) under uncultured bacterium. RNAcentral's name for it is "partial 16S ribosomal RNA". It matches the Rfam family "Bacterial small subunit ribosomal RNA", at positions 28 to 507 of the family's 1533-position model. The record is from RNAcentral.
GACGAACGCUGGCGGCGUGCUUAACACAUGCAAGUCGAACGGAAAGGCCCUGCUUUUGUGGGGUGCUCGAGUGGCGAACGGGUGAGUAACACGUGAGUAACCUGCCCUUGACUUUCGGAUAACUUCAGGAAACUGGGGCUAAUAUCGGGUAGGAGCUACUGCUGCAUGGGGGGGGAUGGAAAGUUACGGCGGUGGUGGAUGGACUCGCGGGUUAUCCGCUUGUUGGUGUGGUAGUGGCGUACGAGGGCUUUGACGGGUAGCCGGCCUGAGAGCUUGACCGGGCUCAAUGGGACUGCGAUACGGCGCAGACUCCUACGGUACGCAGCAGUGGGGAAUAUUACACAAUGGCCGCAAGCGUGAUGCAGCAACGCUGCGUUCGGGAUGCCCUCCUUCGGGUUGUAAACCGCUGUGGCAUGUGACGUAGCGUGCGUGACGGUAAUGGGUAAAGAAGCACCGGCUAACUACGUG